GUGCCAGCAGCCGCGGUAAUUCCAGCUCCAAUAGCGUAUAUUAAAGUUGUUGCAGUUAAAAAGCUCGUAGUUGGAUCUCGGGUCCGGGCUCGCGGUCCACCUCGCGGUGGUUACUGCCCGUCCCGACCUACCUACCGGUUUUCCCUUGGUGCUCUUAACUGAGUGUCUCGGGUGGCCGGAACGUUUACUUUGAAAAAAUUAGAGUGUUCAAAGCAGGCGCUUCGCCUGAAUAAUGUUGCAUGGAAUAAUGGAAUAGGACCUCGGUUCUAUUUUGUUGGUUUUCGGAACUCGAGGUAAUGAUUAAGAGGGACAGACGGGGGCAUUCGUAUGAUGGUGUUAGAGGUGAAAUUCUUGGAUCGCCGUCAGACGAACUACUGCGAAAGCAUUUGCCAAGAAUGUUUUCAUUAAUCAAGAACGAAAGUCAGAGGUUCGAAGACGAUCAGAUACCGUCCUAGUUCUGACCAUAAACGAUGCCGACUAGCGAUCCGCCGGAGUUGUUUCAAUGACCCGGCGGGCAGCUUCCGGGAAACCAAAGUCUUUGGGUUCCGGGGGAAGUAUGGUUGCAAAGCUGAAACUUAAAGGAAUUGACGGAAGGGCACCACCAGGAGUGGAGCCUGCGGCUUAAUUUGACUCAACACGGGAAAGCUUACCCGGCCCGGACACCGUAAGGAUUGACAGAUUGAGAGCUCUUUCUUGAUUCGGUGGGUGGUGGUGCAUGGCCGUUCUUAGUUGGUGGAGCGAUUUGUCUGGUUAAUUCCGAUAACGAACGAGACUCUAGCCUAUUAAAUAGUUCGCCGAUUUCGAUCUGUCGGCGUUAACUUCUUAGAGGGACAAGUGGCUUUUAGCCACGCGAGAUUGAGCAAUAACAGGUCUGUG
Molecule: ribosomal RNA, 876 nt
Filed under: uncultured eukaryote
Lineage: Eukaryota
Description: SSU rRNA
Rfam family: Eukaryotic small subunit ribosomal RNA
Source: RNAcentral